RNAcentral lists this non-coding RNA (24 nucleotides) under Arabidopsis thaliana (thale cress). The record is from RNAcentral. Lineage: Eukaryota; Viridiplantae; Streptophyta; Magnoliopsida; Brassicales; Brassicaceae.
ACUCCUAUCUAAAACACUGGGCUG